RNAcentral lists this ribosomal RNA (607 nucleotides) under Russula recondita. RNAcentral describes it as "eukaryotic LSU rRNA". Lineage: Eukaryota; Fungi; Basidiomycota; Agaricomycetes; Russulales; Russulaceae. The record is from RNAcentral.
GGAGGUGCUGGGGUUGUCGCUGACUUUUGAAAUGGUCGUGCACGCCUCGGUACUCUCACAUACAAUCCAUCUCACCCCUCUUGUGCAUCACCGCGUGGAGGCCCCUUUUGGCUAGUUCUAAAAGGGGUUUUCACGUUUUUAUACAUACACYAUUUUAAUGCAAUGCGUAGAAUGUCAUACUUUUGCGAUCACACGCAAUUAAUACAACUUUCAACAACGGAUCUCUUGGCUCUCGCAUCGAUGAAGAACGCAGCGAAAUGCGAUACGUAAUGUGAAUUGCAGAAUUCAGUGAAUCAUCGAAUCUUUGAACGCACCUUGCGCCCUUUGGUAUUCCGAAGGGCACACCCGUUUGAGUGUCGUGACAUCYUCAAACCUUCUUGGUUUCUCRACCAGGAAGGCUUUGGACUCUGGAGGUUCUUGCUGGCCUUACUUUGUUGAAGCCAGCUCCUCUAAAAUGAAUUAGUGGGAUCUGCYUUGCGGAUACUUGACGUGAUAAGAUAUUUCUACGUCUUGGAUCUYGCACUGUUCGCUCUGGAUCCUGCUUCUAACCGUCUCAUAGAAGACAAUGGGUUAAGUGAUUGCCACUUGGCCCACAAACCUGACCUCA